This 700-nucleotide ribosomal RNA is filed under the name Pseudomonas sp. Its description in RNAcentral is "bacterial SSU rRNA". It matches the Rfam family "Bacterial small subunit ribosomal RNA", at positions 93 to 789 of the family's 1533-position model. The record is from RNAcentral. Lineage: Bacteria; Pseudomonadati; Pseudomonadota; Gammaproteobacteria; Pseudomonadales; Pseudomonadaceae.
CAGCGGCGGACGGGUGAGUAAUGCCUAGGAAUCUGCCUAGUAGUGGGGGACAACGUUUCGAAAGGAACGCUAAUACCGCAUACGUCCUACGGGAGAAAGUGGGGGAUCUUCGGACCUCACGCUAUUAGAUGAGCCUAGGUCGGAUUAGCUAGUUGGUAGGGUAAAGGCCUACCAAGGCGACGAUCCGUAACUGGUCUGAGAGGAUGAUCAGUCACACUGGAACUGAGACACGGUCCAGACUCCUACGGGAGGCAGCAGUGGGGAAUAUUGGACAAUGGGCGAAAGCCUGAUCCAGCCAUGCCGCGUGUGUGAAGAAGGCCCUCGGGUCGUAAAGCACUUUAAGUUGGGAGGAAGGGCUUACAGCGAAUACCUGUGAGUUUUGACGUUACCGACAGAAUAAGCACCGGCUAACUUCGUGCCAGCAGCCGCGGUAAUACGAAGGGUGCAAGCGUUAAUCGGAAUUACUGGGCGUAAAGCGCGCGUAGGUGGCUUGAUAAGUUGGAUGUGAAAUCCCCGGGCUCAACCUGGGAACUGCAUCCAAAACUGUCUGGCUAGAGUGCGGUAGAGGGUAGUGGAAUUUCCAGUGUAGCGGUGAAAUGCGUAGAUAUUGGAAGGAACACCAGUGGCGAAGGCGACUACCUGGACUGACACUGACACUGAGGUGCGAAAGCGUGGGGAGCAAACAGGAUUAGAUACCCUG